GGCUCUGUGGCGCAAUGGAUAGCGCAUUGGACUUCUAAUUCAAAGAUUGUGGGUUCGAAUCCCACCAGUGUCG
This 73-nucleotide transfer RNA is filed under the name Xenopus tropicalis (tropical clawed frog). RNAcentral's name for it is "tRNA-Arg (TCT) (tRNA-Arg-TCT-38-1)". It matches the Rfam family "tRNA". Rfam says of the family: Transfer RNA (tRNA) molecules are approximately 80 nucleotides in length. The record is from RNAcentral. Lineage: Eukaryota; Metazoa; Chordata; Amphibia; Anura; Pipidae.